GACGAACGCUGGCGGCGUGCCUAAUACACGCAAGUCGAACGAAGCUGUUUUAACUGGUGCUUGCACCGACUUAAACAACUGAGUGGCGAACGGGUGAGUAACACGUGGGUAACCUGCCCCAAAGCGGGGGAUAACAUUUGGAAACAGAUACUAAUACCGCAUAAUCACAGAAACCACAUGGUUUCUGUGUCAAAGAUGGUUUCGGCUAUCACUUUGGGAUGGACCAGAGGCGUAUUAGCUAGUUGGUAAGGUAAUGGCUUACCAAGGCAAUGAUACGUAGCCGAACUGAGAGGUUGAUCGGCCACAUUGGGACUGAGACACGGCCCAAACUCCUACGGGAGGCAGCAGUAGGGAAUCUUCCACAAUGGACGAAAGUCUGAUGGAGCAACGCCGCGUGAGUGAAGAAGGUUUUCGGAUCGUAAAACUCUGUUGUCAGAGAAGAACGUGUGCGAGAGUAACUGUUCGUGCAGUGACGGUAUCUGGCCAGAAAGCCACGGCUAACUACGUGCCAGCCGCCGCGGUAA
This 524-nucleotide ribosomal RNA is filed under the name uncultured bacterium. RNAcentral describes it as "partial 16S ribosomal RNA". It matches the Rfam family "Bacterial small subunit ribosomal RNA", at positions 28 to 523 of the family's 1533-position model. The record is from RNAcentral.